Molecule: ribosomal RNA, 338 nt
Filed under: uncultured bacterium
Lineage: Bacteria
Description: bacterial SSU rRNA
Rfam family: Bacterial small subunit ribosomal RNA
Source: RNAcentral
AAUCAACGCUGGCGGCGCGCCUAACACAUGCAAGUCGGACGAGAAAGGCGGGGCAACCCGCUGAGUAAAGUGGCGUACGGGUGAGUAACACGUGGGUAACCUGCCCUCUGGUGGGGAAUAACCUGCCGAAAGGCGGGCUAAUACCGCGUACGCUUCCCGGUCUGCGGGCCGGGAAGGAAAGCCAUGCCGUGGGUAUGGCGCUCGAGGAUGGGCUCACGUCCUAUCAGCUAGUUGGUAGGGUAACGGCCUACCAAGGCGAUGACGGGUAGCUGGUCUGAGAGGACGAUCAGCCACACUGGCACUGAGACACGGGCCAGACUCCUACGGGAGGCAGCAUG